GGAUUAGAUACCCUGGUAGUCCACGCCGUAAACGAUGCAUGCUCGCUGUCGGGCCCGCUACAGGGUUCGGUGGCUUAGCUAACGCGGUAAGCAUGCCGCCUGGGGAGUACGGCCGCAAGGUUAAAACUCAAAGGAAUUGACGGGGACCCGCACAAGUGGUGGAGCAUGUCCUUUAAUUCGAAGAUACGCGAAGAACCUUACCUAGCCUUGACAUCCUGGUAGAUCUGCCCCGAAACGGGCGGAGCAUUUAGUUGGACCAGAGACAGGUGUUGCAUGGCUGUCGUCAGCUCGUGCCG
Molecule: ribosomal RNA, 296 nt
Filed under: uncultured bacterium
Lineage: Bacteria
Description: partial 16S ribosomal RNA
Rfam family: Bacterial small subunit ribosomal RNA
Source: RNAcentral